Molecule: ribosomal RNA, 502 nt
Filed under: uncultured bacterium
Lineage: Bacteria
Description: bacterial SSU rRNA
Rfam family: Bacterial small subunit ribosomal RNA
Source: RNAcentral
CGUGCCUAAUACAUGCAAGUCGAACGGUCUUUCUAUGGAAGCUUGCUUCCACUGAGAAGAUAGUGGCGAACGGGUGAGUAACACGUGGGUAACCUGCCCAUAAGAGGGGGAUAACAUCCGGAAACGGGUGCUAAUACCGCAUAGUUUUCUUGAUCGCAUGAUCGGGAAAGGAAAGACGGCCUUUGUGCUGUCGCUUAUGGAUGGACCCGCGGCGUAUUAGUUAGUUGGUGAGGUAACGGCUCACCAAGACGAUGAUACGUAGCCGACCUGAGAGGGUGAUCGGCCACAUUGGGACUGAGACACGGCCCAAACUCCUACGGGAGGCAGCAGUAGGGAAUCUUCCGCAAUGGACGAAAGUCUGACGGAGCAACGCCGCGUGAGUGAAGAAGGUUUUCGGAAUCGUAAAACUCUGUUGUCAGAGAAGAACAAGUUGGAGAGUAACUGCUCCAGCCUUGACGGUAUCUGACCAGAAAGCCACGGCUAACUACGUGCCAGCAGCAGC